CGUAAAAGAAACCUGCCUCAUAGACUGGGACAACUAUUGGAAACGAUAGCUAAUACCGGAUAACAGUAUUUCUCGCAUGAGAGAUAUUUAAAAGUUGGUUAUGCUAACACUAUGAGAUGGCUUUGCGGUGCAUUAGCUAGUUGGUGGGGUAAAGGCCUACCAAGGCGACGAUGCAUAGCCGACCUGAGAGGGUGAUCGGCCACACUGGGACUGAGACACGGCCCAG
Molecule: ribosomal RNA, 226 nt
Filed under: uncultured bacterium
Lineage: Bacteria
Description: partial 16S ribosomal RNA
Rfam family: Bacterial small subunit ribosomal RNA
Source: RNAcentral